This 327-nucleotide ribosomal RNA is filed under the name uncultured eukaryote. Its description in RNAcentral is "partial 18S ribosomal RNA". It matches the Rfam family "Eukaryotic small subunit ribosomal RNA", at positions 1470 to 1796 of the family's 1831-position model. The record is from RNAcentral.
CCCUUAGAUGUCCUGGGCUGCACGCGCGCUACACUGAUGUGUCCAGUAAGCACCUAACCUCUUCCGAAAGGAACGGGUAACCUUUGCAAAGCACAUCGUGAUGGGGAUAGAUUAUUGCAAUUAUUAGUCUUGAACGAGGAAUUCCUAGUAAGCACAAGUCAUCAGCUUGUGUUGAUUACGUCCCUGCCCUUUGUACACACCGCCCGUCGCUCCUACCGAUUGAAUGUUCCGGUGAGACCUUGGGAUUUGGUCUUUGAUACUUUAUUGUGUCGUUGACCGAAAAACUUGAGCAAACCUUAACGUUUAGAGGAAGGUGAAGUCGUAACA